RNAcentral lists this small RNA (26 nucleotides) under Bombyx mori (domestic silkworm). Its description in RNAcentral is "ovarian small RNA-17235". Lineage: Eukaryota; Metazoa; Arthropoda; Insecta; Lepidoptera; Bombycidae. The record is from RNAcentral.
GGACAUACCUGAAGCGUGCAGUUGGU